AGUAUUUAUAUAUCCGGAGAAAGUUCUCUAGUAAAUUCUGGAGAUCUUUGGUAUUUAAAUGUCAACAUCGAUUUGUUUAUUUAUUGCUUAGCUUAUCGUAACUGACUCAAUAACAAAUCUAAUCAUGUUCUGCACAGAGAAAAUAUUCUCAUUAUGUAUUUU
Molecule: non-coding RNA, 162 nt
Organism: Mesitornis unicolor (brown roatelo)
Lineage: Eukaryota; Metazoa; Chordata; Aves; Mesitornithiformes; Mesitornithidae
Source: Rfam